GGGCAUUUGUCCUUCCCUGGCAUGCAAACAGCCACACGUGAGUGCUUGCUCCCGUUUAAGAGACUUUGAAGGAAUAUUUGCCCCUCACAACCUGCACAUUGAUUCCAAAGCUAGAUCGGGCCUACAGGGUUAGGGUUUUUUUAAAGAGAACUCAAAAAAGUCAGUAAGGGGCUGUGUUUUAGAAUCAACGACACAUGAUGGCCUCCAGUGAGCACUUAAAGUAGGAAAUCUGCAGUUCCUUUUUACUCUAUGUACUAACUUCAGAAAACAGUUGGUUUGUUUUUUUUUUCAAAUAAUAUGUUUUUUCCUUCUGACUUGUGUGUUGUUUCAGCUUGAAUAUAGAGACAGAUACAAUAAAGCUUGGUAAGAUUUGCCCUGGGUUCAUGAUUUGGGGGGAAGGAAUACCUGAAUUUCAAAAUAAUAUUCUGUACUGAAAGUUGGUGGUGUGUGGAUUUCAGAAUAUGAAAUGCAUAGUGUCUUAUUCACGGUAGCAUUAAGAGCCUUCCCCCCUCCCCCCUAAAAUUAGACCUUCAGAUCUUGAUCUGCAGCUCCUGUCUCUGACACUCUGAGCUUCUGCUAUUUCAGCUACAGUAUGCGUAGACUGCCAAAGCCAGGAUAUUACAAAUCAGAGAGGUUUAAAACAAGCGACUUGGGGGGCUAAAUCCCUCUUUUAGACACACAGUCGACACUCCCUUCACGGGAGGGCGGUGGUUUUUAAUCAUGCCUUAAAAAUUCCUUAAAAGCAGGGGGUCUCCCCUCCGCGAGGGGCGGUCGGCAGAGUGCGUGCCUUAUGAAUAAACCGGCUAUUAGGCUGAUGCUUCAAGUAACAUUAUCCAGCACCAAGGGUAUGAUUCAAGGAGUGCCCCACACAAAUUUCUCUUGGGGACAGUGCUGAGGUGAGUAUCAGACAGGGAGAGAGUUGUUUUCUGUUUAUUAGAUAUUCAAGAUAUGGAUGUGCCUCUACAGGUUUUCUCCAAAGGCAGCUUUUCACUCAUAAUGGCUUAAAAAGUCUGGGUCCUGUCAUCUGUACAAACCAAAAGCCUUAACUGCUCAGAAGGUCAUGUAUUUCUGAUAAAUAAUAAAUAAUUUCUGUUCAUUGUUAUUUUAGAAAAAGAAGAGUUCAGGAGCUUGAACAGCAGAAUUACGGAAUUGGAAAGUUAUGUAGACAUCAUUAAAUUCAGAGUUCUAUGGCCACAUUAAAUAACAGAAGCUUUGAACUGAUAAACUCUUCAUUGCAGAAUCCAUAUGGGGCCAUUCUCCUAAAGUGUCUUCCCUCAAGGAAGCAGCUCUAAUCUACACUAUUUCAAGACUUCUUGGACACAUGAAAUUAUAAAGGAAUCUCAUUGGCAAGUGAAAUAUGGCAACAAGGAGUCAUAUCCAGUACCGUUGCACCUGGUAAAAGCCUACAUGAAGUGACUGCAAACAUGCCAGCAUUGGUACUGGUGAGUCUUGUUGUGCUGUGUGUUCCUUGGACACUGGUGAGUGGAUAGGACUCAUAAUGAGUAGGACUGCUCUGCUCAUCUCCAGAGCUAGCACCAACAACCUGAGAAUAUCCCCUUAGUCUCUUUGUCUACUCCUAGCCUCAGCAGAGGUGAUGAAAGUAUCACUUGUCACAAGAGGCCUUGGCACCACAUUUCUAACCUCCUUAUCACGUUUUCCUUGGGAUAUGUUACUAGCCCUUUGCAUCAGAGCCACAGUAUUCCUCAGCACUACAGGUGUGCUAGAGGAGCCUUCUCCCCAAGAUUCCCUGUGGCAGGUGAUAAGGAUAUUCAGUUUCUGGAAGUGAAGUGAGAUCUCUGCUGUCAAAACAGUGAAAGUGCAGCUCCUUGUUCUAUGGAACACCAGGUUCCAAACAUGUCAGCACUUGAAACAUGGAUUAAGUGCAGAAAAUGCAAUGACAAUUUUCUGGCAUAGGUGAUUGGUGAGAUAACUAGAGGAGAUGCCCUGGCUGGAUUUAUUACUCAUGAACAAUCUGUCUGAGGGUGUAGAGGCUGAAGGCAGCUUUGGCUGCAACUUUGAGUUUGUAUAGUUUAAAAUUGUGAGAUAAACAAGAAAACUAAUAAAAUUGCAAGUCUUGACUUCCAAAGGCAGAUUUCAGCUUGUUUGGAAAUCUGUUGGACAGGAUCACAUGAAAGGCAGUCAGUUGCCCUGGCACAACUAACUGAACUUCACCUUCUCAAGACACAGAACUGGUUUCUUCCAAAUCAAGAAAGGUAAGCAAAGGUGCAAGGCUAGUAUGGGUGAACAGAACACGCUAGACUCACUGCAAAUAUGAAAUCUAGCCAAUGGCAGCAUGAGUGUGCUACCCAUCCACUUCACUGUGGUGAGUGGAGUGGCCAUGAUGGAUAGAAGAGGCAAAUGUCAUACCCGUCUUCAAGAAGGCUGAGAAAGGGGAUCCAGGGAACUACAAGCUAAGAACUCUAACCUCAGUCUCCUGGAAGAUUUUUUCCUCCUGGAAAUAAUUUCUGAGCUCAUGAAUUGCAAGAAGGUGAUUAAAAAUAGGCAGCAUGAACUUACCAUGGGCAAAUUGCCACUGAUAAAUCUGAUUGAUUGAUCAUUCUGAGGUGGACUGGUUCCAUGGAUGAGGGAAGAGUAGUGCAGGUUGUUUACCUUGACUUUAGCAGAGCUUUUCCCAAGGUCUUUGAUAGUAUCCUACCAGUCAAAAUAUGGACAGGAUAAGCAGAUUACAAAGUGGAUGGAAAACUGGUUGAAAUUCCAGGCCAGACAGGUUGUGAUUGGCAGUAUAAAGUCUAUCCCACAACUGGUUGCUAGUGGCAGUCCUCCUCAGGAACAGAUUAUGGGGUAAAUGCAGUUUGGUGUCUUCACUGCUAAUGAUCUGAUCUAAUGGGAAAGCUUGCACUAUCAGCAGAUUCAUGGAUCAUACCAGCCUUCAGGGAAGGAGUUGAUAUGCCAGAGGGCAGGGGUGUUGCUUAGAGGGAACCAAGACAAGCUGGAGGAAUGUAUUUUCAGGAGUCUCACCAAGCUCAGCAAAGACAGGUAAGAAGUCUUGCACGUGCUGGAGAUGAACUGAUUGAAGAGCAGCUUUGUAGAAAGGGACCUGUGGUACUGGUGAACAUGACGAGUAUGAGUUGGCAGUUGGGGCAAACAAGGUCAGCCUCAUCCCACAUUGUAUUAGCAAAUUGUAACCAGCAGGUCUAGGGAAGUAAUUGUUCCCUCUCACUGGUGCUUGUGAGACUGCUUCUGGAGUACUGUUUUUGCUGCCCAGUACAAGAGACAGACACAUGGUUUUGAAUACAGCAGAGUCACUAAGAUCACACAGGCUGAAGUACGUGUGUAUGAGCCAAGUGUGACAGUGUGAAUAUAGGAAAGAGAUCCAAACUCUUCUUGGAAAUGUAUGGUGACAGGGGAAGAGCUAAUGGACACAAGUUGCAAUACAGGAAAUUCUGCCUGUAAGGAAAAACAUUUUCAUUGUUAAUAUAAUCAAAUGCUGGAAUGGACUUCCAGUCAAUAUUGUGGAAUCUCAGACCUUGAAGAAAUUCAAAAGCUGACUGAGCAAGAUGCUUUGAAUGAGGAAUUGAAAUAGCAGACUUACAGGGAUCACUUUCAACCUGUCCAUCAGAGAAGAGGAGCGAAGACCAGCAAAUGGCAAUAAAUUUGCCACUGCAGAUCUGCUUGAACCCUUAUUGUCAGAGAGCUCUAGUGUCAAAGAUGAGGCACCUACGCAUUUCUACACUGAAAGAUGGCAGCUGAGUUUUCAUUUGAGAACUGCAAGUUUCAAUGAAGAACCCUAAGGCCUGAAUAUCUUUUUGAAUCUGGUUCUUAAUAGUCAACUUAAAAAAGAAUGGAUCUGUUUUCAAAGAGUACAGGCUUUUCUCCUGAAGACAUGAAAGACAUAGGAGGAUGAUUGAUCAGGAUUGCUUUGAGGGAUGUUUUCUUUCCUGUUGUCCUAAGAUGAGAUUGGAGGUUAUAGGAAGUGGCAGAUGUUUUGGAGUGGCCCUAUUGUUUACAGGACUUUAAAUUGUUGUUUUCAUUCGUGAGUUUCCUAUCUGCUAAUAGUGAAUGCAUACUUGUAGCUAGUGUACAUGAUUGCAUUUGGCACCUUUUAGGAGUUAGAUGGUAGUUGUUCUCUAGCUGGUGCUAAUUUCUAUUUUCAGACACUGCUUAACUUCAGCAUUAGCAAAAUUAUAUGAGAAAGUGAUGUUGCUGCACUCUGUGUUGUGCAGGGCUGUAAAUGUAGGCAUGCAUUACAGGAAUAAUUGUAUAGAAUGAAAAGCUAAUAUACAUCAGUGUUUUGUUAAAAAGUAUGCACAUUCUAUACAUAGUGCUUGGGAAAAAAGUCAUUUUCUCUUCAUGACUGAUUCAAUUCUAUAUAUUUUAUAAGAAAACUUUUUGUGUCACUAAAAAUAAAUAAAUAUUAUACAUAUUUAAUGGAAUAUGUGAUUUUUCCUUCUUCUAGUGUAAUCAUUCACCAUUUUGUAGCAGCUUCCACAGGGAUAGGUAACAGGACAAAUACCAGUGAAUGGAUAAUCACAAUCCUUAUAAGAAAAAAAAAAUCCUUCUUAUUUUUAACUUUUGGUAACUUGAAAAUAUUUCUUGUAUUUUGUCUUAAAUACAGCAUUUCGUCAUUUGUUUAAUAAUGCCUCUCUCUCUAUGGUAAAACAGUUAGAAUAUAGACCUUCUUCCUUUCCUCAGUGAAAGGAGGAUAAAUCAACAUGCUGGCUUAUAUUUUAAUAGAGUUAUGGGGAAGGGGAAAUGAGAUUUUUUCAAAUGGGGAGGGAAAAAGUAUUUAUCAGAUUUCAACCAUUGGAUUAAAUUAUAUCAUGCUCUGUAAGAAAAACUAUGUUGCUCUUCAGUUUUGUAUUCAAAGAGGUACUAUGAUCCAAAAACCAUGCCAUAUUCAGUGCAUAUACUAAAAGCAUCACUCACAUGCUGGUCACAAGAAUAUGUUUCUAUUAAAAAAAAAGUUGUCACUUAUAAGUCUUUUUUCCUGUAGUUCAGAAAAUUAUUUCUAUUUGAAUAGCUUUGAAAUUUCAAGAUCAGAAUAUUUUUAUAAGCAAUAGUUUAAAGCCUGUGAUAUAAUCUGCAAACUAUCAAACAUACGAUCUUCCUAAUGUGCCAGGAUUUUGAUUACAUAAAAAUACUUUGUUGAUUCUUAGUGAAUAUUCAUGAAUGGUGUAUAUAUAUGGUUGGUAUGCAUAUGCACAGUAUAAAACAACAUGGUAAAAAAUACAUCUUUAUACUUACGGAAGAUUAUAAAAAUAAAUAAUUUCUUUCUA
Molecule: non-coding RNA, 5237 nt
Organism: Lonchura striata (white-rumped munia)
Lineage: Eukaryota; Metazoa; Chordata; Aves; Passeriformes; Estrildidae
Source: RefSeq, a predicted model, not a curated record